AGAGGUGUAUAUGUCCUAUUUAGGUUGUAGCACCUUGGAUAUAGGUAAAAAGAUAAGACUAAGGCCUCAAGGCCUCUUUAGACAACUCAUAUAUACUACUUAUGAGCCUAAGUGAGGCUUGAACUCUUGAUCUCUUAAAUAAGUUAUUCUUGAAAUAAAAAUUAUUUACUUAAUUUUUUUAUUAUUUUCAUUUUAUCUUUAAUUUAUCAUAACUUAUUGAUAAUAACUUGAAUUUAUAUGUAUUUUAUAUCAUUGAAAAGAUAAGAAAUUAUCUAUUUAAAAAUAUGUUUUUUAUUUUUUAUUUUUAUUUAUUAUUAAAUAAAAAUCUAAUAAGUAGAUUAUGACUAAUUUUUAUAAUAUAUAAUUGUUUGAUUAUACUUAUUUCACUUAUUUUGAAUUAUUCUUCUUUUAUUCUUAUUUUUGCUACUUUCACUUUAUACUACUAAUUACAAGUAACUACCAUGGAUAUACAUACGUUGUAGUGUUGUGAUUUAGCUACCAUGUGAAAAUAAUGUGAUUAUGUGUUUAAUGUACAAUUUACUUAACAAUAUGGUGACAGCCAUGUUACUGGAUUUUAAUUGGUUGUAGAAUGUGGUUAAAUUACUACUUUAUAAAGAGGUUGUUUAAAAAGAUUACUAUUAGAAUUUAU
Molecule: long non-coding RNA, 649 nt
Filed under: Physcomitrium patens
Lineage: Eukaryota; Viridiplantae; Streptophyta; Bryopsida; Funariales; Funariaceae
Description: long non-coding RNA (PPAT_LNC013823)
Source: RNAcentral